This 852-nucleotide ribosomal RNA is filed under the name Clostridioides difficile. RNAcentral describes it as "bacterial LSU rRNA". It matches the Rfam family "Bacterial large subunit ribosomal RNA", at positions 1 to 856 of the family's 2925-position model. The record is from RNAcentral. Lineage: Bacteria; Bacillati; Bacillota; Clostridia; Peptostreptococcales; Peptostreptococcaceae.
UGGUCAAGUUAUUAAGGGUGCAGGGCGGAUGCCUUGGCACUAGGAGCCGAUGAAGGACGUGAUAAGCUGCGAUAAGCUUCGGGGAGUUGCACGUAAACUUUGAUCCGAAGAUUUCCGAAUGAGGAAACUCACUUAGAGUAAUGUCUAAGUAUCAUUAAGUGAAUACAUAGCUUAAUGAGGUGAACUCAGGGAACUGAAACAUCUAAGUACCUGAAGGAAGAGAAAGAAAUUCGAUUCCGUAAGUAGCGGCGAGCGAACGCGGAUUAGCCCAAACCAAUAAAGUUUUCUUUAUUGGGGUUGCGGACAUAUCAUAACGAAGAGGUAUCGUAAUUGAAGAGGUUUGGAAAGACCCACCACAGAAGGUAAUAGUCCUGUAUGUUAAACGAGAAGACUUUAGAUAUGAUCCAGAGUACCACGGGACACGUGAAACCCUGUGGGAAGCAGGAGGGACCACCCUCCAAGGCUAAAUACUACCUAGUGACCGAUAGCGUAUAGUACCGUGAGGGAAAGGUGAAAAGAACCCCGGGAGGGGAGUGAAAUAGAACCUGAAACCCUGCACUUACAAGCUGUGGAAGCACAUUUCUUGUGUGACCGCGUACUUUUUGUAGAACGGGCCAACGAGUUACGUUAAGUAGCAAGGUUAAGCACUUAAGGUGCGGAGCCGUAGCGAAAGCGAGUUUUAACUGAGCGUUCAGUUACUUGACGUAGACCCGAAACCGGGCGACCUACCCAUGAGCAGGAUGAAGCGAAAGUAAAAUUUCGUGGAGGUCCGAACCCACGAGCGUUGAAAAGCUCGGGGAUGACUUGUGGGUAGCGGUGAAAUUCCAAUCGAGCCCGGAGAUAGCUGGUUCU